Molecule: ribosomal RNA, 466 nt
Filed under: uncultured bacterium
Lineage: Bacteria
Description: bacterial SSU rRNA
Rfam family: Bacterial small subunit ribosomal RNA
Source: RNAcentral
GGAGGAAAGUAGGGGAUCGAAAGACCUUAUGCUUUUGGAGCGGCCGAUGUCUGAUUAGCUAGUUGGUAAGGUAAUGGCUUACCAAGGCGACGAUCAGUAGUUGGUCUGAGAGGACGGCCAGCCACACUGGGACUGAGACACGGCCCAGACUCCUACGGGAGGCAGCAGUGGGGAAUUUUGGACAAUGGGCGCAAGCCUGAUCCAGCAAUGCCGCGUGAGUGAAGAAGGCCUUCGGGUUGUAAAGCUCUUUCAGUCGAGAAGAAAAGGUUGUGACUAAUAAUUGCAAUUUAUGACGGUAUCGACAGAAGAAGCACCGGCUAACUACGUGCCAGCAGCCGCGGUAAUACGUAGGGUGCGAGCGUUAAUCGGAAUUACUGGGCGUAAAGGGUGCGCAGGCGGCUAUGUAAGUCAGACGUGAAAUCCCCGGGCUUAACCUGGGAACUGCGUUUGAAACUACAAAGCUAGA